UGGGGAAUAUUGCACAAUGGGCGAAAGCCUGAUGCAGCGACGCCGCGUGAGGGCAUGACGGCCUUCGGGUUGUAAACCUCUUUCAGCAGGGAAGAAGCGAAAGUGACGGUACCUGCAGAAGAAGCGCCGGCUAACUACGUGCCAGCAGCCGCGGUAAUACGUAGGGCGCAAGCGUUGUCCGGAAUUAUUGGGCGUAAAGAGCUCGUAGGCGGUUAGUCGCGUCUGCUGUGAAAACUCGAGGCUCAACCUCGGGCUUGCAGUGGGUACGGGCUGACUAGAGUGCAGUAGGGGUGACUGGAAUUCCUGGUGUAGCGGUGGAAUGCGCAGAUAUCAGGAGGAACACCGAUGGCGAAGGCAGGUCACUGGGCCGCAACUGACGCUGAGGAGCGAAAGCAUGGGGAGCGAACAGGAUUAGAUACCCUGGUAGUCCAUGCCGUAAACGUUGGGCACUAGGUGUGGGGUCCA
RNAcentral lists this ribosomal RNA (465 nucleotides) under uncultured bacterium. RNAcentral's name for it is "partial 16S ribosomal RNA". It matches the Rfam family "Bacterial small subunit ribosomal RNA", at positions 355 to 831 of the family's 1533-position model. The record is from RNAcentral.